Molecule: ribosomal RNA, 253 nt
Filed under: uncultured prokaryote
Description: partial 16S ribosomal RNA
Rfam family: Bacterial small subunit ribosomal RNA
Source: RNAcentral
UACAGAGGUCUCAAGCGUUGUUCGGAUUCAUUGGGCGUAAAGGGUGUGUAGGUGGCGCGCUAAGUCGGGUGUGAAAUUUCGGAGCUUAACUCCGAAACUGCAUUCGAUACUGGCGUGCUUGAGUACUGGAGAGGAAACUGGAAUUUACGGUGUAGCAGUGAAAUGCGUAGAGAUCGUAAGGAAGACCAGUGGCGAAGGCGAGUUUCUGGACAGUUACUGACGCUGAGGCACGAAGGCCAGGGGAGCAAACGGG